This 261-nucleotide ribosomal RNA is filed under the name uncultured prokaryote. RNAcentral describes it as "partial 16S ribosomal RNA". It matches the Rfam family "Bacterial small subunit ribosomal RNA", at positions 524 to 784 of the family's 1533-position model. The record is from RNAcentral.
UACGUAGGUGGCGAGCGUUGUCCGGAUUUACUGGGCGUAAAGGGAGCGUAGGCGGACUUUUGAGUGAGAUGUGAAAUACCCGGGCUCAACUUGGGUGCUGCAUUUCAAACUGGAAGUCUAGAGUGCAGGAGAGGAGAAUGGAAUUCCUAGUGUAGCGGUGAAAUGCGUAGAGAUUAGGAAGAACACCAGUGGCGAAGGCGAUUCUCUGGACUGUAACUGACGCUGAGGCUCGAAAGCGUGGGGAGCAAACAGGAUUAGAUA